RNAcentral lists this transfer RNA (75 nucleotides) under Candidatus Spechtbacteria bacterium RIFCSPHIGHO2_01_FULL_38_11. RNAcentral describes it as "tRNA-Ile". It matches the Rfam family "tRNA". From Rfam's summary of the family: Transfer RNA (tRNA) molecules are approximately 80 nucleotides in length. Lineage: Bacteria; Candidatus Spechtiibacteriota. RNAcentral also lists the same sequence under 3 other names. The record is from RNAcentral.
GCGCGUGUAGCUCAGUUCGGUUAGAGCACGCCUCUGAUAAGGGCGAGGUCCUAGGUUCGAAUCCUAGCACGCGCA